UUCUUUAUCUUGUGAUGGUCUUUUCUUUGGAUUAACCUUCUCUGUUUUCUAAGGAUAGCUUAAAAAGAAGGGAACCCAAUGUUGUUAUGCGUUUCUCCUUUUUUACCUUCUGAGUAUUAUGUUUUGUCUUGAAGAGGUAAGCUUCACAGUCCACUAAUUCUUAUUAGCUUUUAUUGUAGAAAGUGACUCGAAGGGUGAAUAUUUAUUUUGAAAUUCCUAGACUUUAGCUUCCUCUCUCCCACAUUAUCUCUACCACCCAUUGAAGCUGAGCCUGAGACAGAUGAGGUGACUUCAAGCCCUUGGGGUGCAAGUUGCUCACUCAUCCUUGAAAUCCAGUGCUGUUCACUAUCAUGAACUCAUUGACGUAAAGUGAUCCCUUGUCGAUGCAGCUAAAGGAACUUGCAACCAAACCACAUGCCCAAAACUCAAAACCAAAGAUAAGACUUGCAUUUGUUGUUCCUCCGAUAAGAGAUGUUACCCGACCAAACAAAGAUGUGGAGGUUGGUGUGCAUAAAUUAUCUCGAGAAGGUACAUCAAGGAUUUAAGAAAACCUGAAUAACCAUUUUAUUAAAUUCUUUCU
This is a long non-coding RNA of Brassica oleracea var. oleracea, 580 nucleotides long. RefSeq lists it as uncharacterized. The transcript is spliced from 3 exons. Lineage: Eukaryota; Viridiplantae; Streptophyta; Magnoliopsida; Brassicales; Brassicaceae. The record is from RefSeq and is a predicted model, not a curated record.